Long non-coding RNA from Acinonyx jubatus (cheetah), 3421 nucleotides. RefSeq lists it as uncharacterized. The transcript has 3 exons. Lineage: Eukaryota; Metazoa; Chordata; Mammalia; Carnivora; Felidae. The record is from RefSeq and is a predicted model, not a curated record.
GGCCUCAUACUUACCCAAUCAAGACCUUUCCUUUCUCAAUCUUGUAUUCAAUGUGCUGGGACAUCUGGGCACGGUCAGACCUGGCUUCUGGGUCUCUCCAUCCCGUAGCCACCCUGCACACCCCUUCUUCCAUACACCCUAGCACAGGGAGAGGGUGAUAUGACCUGGGAGGCCCUACACCUGCGGCUAGUCCUGCUGCUGCUGGCCUCAGGCUCCUGGGUGCAGAGCCAGAAGGAUGAGUUGGUGUGGGCCAUACAGGACCAGGUACUCUCUGUGAAAUGCCCAUCCGCCCCCCUGCUAGGUGAGCAUCAGAACAAAACCUGUCGAAACCCGGUUAUUGCUUGAAGUUAGUCACCAGCACCAGUCCCCAGGUAAUGGCCCAAAGCCCUCCACAUUUCAUCUGGGACAACUCUGCUGCUGGCUUCUUUCGUGUCAUCGUAACAGAGAUCACGAAGAAAAGUUCAGGAGCGUACUGGUGUGGAAUAGACAGAGGUCCUAUGAAAAGCAUCACUAUCCUCAAAAACAUCAGCCUGGUGGUGACUUCAAGUGAGCUUUUUGCAGAGAGGGGAGGGGCCUGCCUGGGGUGUCUGGUGGGGGAAAUGAAACCGCUCACCUCCUUCUCUCGCUUCCUUCCCCAGAUCCCACCAGCUCCCUGCUCCCUUCCAUACUGACUACGGGCAGUUAAGUCCCUAGUCCCCAUAUUCAGGCCAUUGCCUCCAUCCUUGGGUGUCCUGUCUCAGCAGGUAUAAGAUAAUUUGGGGCCCACUGGGCACAGAGCCCUUGUCCACACAAUGGCUCAGACCCAACCUCAGCCACCGACCCCCAGAACUGGCCACCCUGUAUAGGCACGGGGUGUCUGUGUGGGGUCCUGUGGCCUAGGUCUCUCCCAGGCCAGACACGCUGUUGCUCAGGACCUUGGUUCAGACCAGAAGUGUCUUGAGACUCUGAUGGUGAAAGGGCCAUGCCUUUGGGACAAGUGGCUUGUGCCUUUUCCACAGGAGGGCUCCUGACUCUCCCUGCUCUUGGGGAUUUGGGGACCCAGUAUUAGGCUUCUCUCUCAGCCCAGGCCUCCCCUAGCCCCUGCUUGUCUCUUUCUACUAGCUCUGGGAAGCUCCCUAGCUUGGACCCCAGUCAGCCCUGGCCUGAGGGACCCUGGGGGCUGGCUCUGGCCCCUCCCCCUCUUCCUCUCAGGCUUUGGGGGCUGACCCCUCUCCCUCUGGGGACUCUAGGCUGCCGCUGCCUUCUCUGUGGUCGUCAAUCACACUUACUUUUCUAGUGACAACCAUUUCAACCUUCAUCAAUGGCUCUGAGGACUGGUAGAUCUGGGGUCCCACCUGAAGGGAGGGGGCUGGGAAGCUGGUGACUCGUACGGGCUCUGAUUCAGGAGACCAGGGGGACCAAGACGUCUGAAAGGGGUCCCAAGGUCUCAGGUCUCACCCCAAGGAUGAAGGAAUGACUCUAAACUUCCCCCAUGAUGGAGCAGAAAUAGCUACAUAUCAGAAUGCAACAUCUUCCAUUAGUGCUGAUUCACAGGCAAGAAGAAUGAGGCCUGUCCAGAGUUACUCAGCUACUUCAGGCCCAAAGCAGAACUAAGAUCCAGGCCUUCUGUCUCCUGGUCCAGUGCUCCUUUGGGGCUUAGAGAUUCUCCAUGGGCACCUCUGGGUGCCGAUUAUAGUUGUGGCACUCUCUCCCUCUGCUUUUCCUUUGGGACCAAUGGCCUUCUCCCUGUUCAUUGGAGAUGUGGCAUGCCCUGAUAGCAUCACCCAGAGAAAUGAGAACUUUGAUCAUUGCUUAUUUCCUGGCUAACCUCUCCCUGUACCCAAGCUUCCUGCGUUCUCAGGAUUCUGUUCCAGGCAGUCCCUGUGGCUCACCCCAGUGAGCUGGGGGUGGGUCUGGCCCAUAAAUAGGCUCCAGCCCCAUGCUGAGUUCAGGGGCUGCUCUCCCCAGCCUGGAUCCUCCCCUCCUCCUUCUCCCUUCUCCCACAGCCUGCCUGACAGCACUUUCGUGGUGCUGUUGUGUGGACUCCUCGUGACCAAGAUCAUGGCUUUGACAGCCCUCCUCCUGUUUCUGACCUACAGAGCCCAGGUCUCCGCCGGCAUUGUGGGAGUAGCAGAAGUGGCUGCCCCUGGCCCCACCAAGACCCCAGGGCCCUUGAGCACUCCUCACUGAGCCUACAGUCCCCCCACCUCCUCCUGAUCCUCCAUGACCACUGAGACCUGGGGCCUCCAAGAAAAGGCCAUUACUGUGUUUCCGGAAGACACCUCCCAGCACCUGAAUCUACCAUUGUGGCGGCACCUCUCACCCCAGAGCUGAGGACCCCCCCAUUGCCUUCUCCAACGCCAUGUCCACAAAGCAAGAACCCACCACCUGUGAGACUCUUCCUGGGCAUCCAGGCUGCCCCUCUCCCACCCAGUGGACCAAACCCAACUGGUAGGCACCCUCCCCCUAACCUGUGCCUCUCCCUCCUCUCCUGGGUUACCUGUUUCUCUGCCAGCUCAUGGUUCAGCUGGUCUCCCGGCCACCAAUGCCCACUGCAGUCAGCUUCAGUUCCUGUUCUUCCCGAUAUGGGAAAUAUCCUUCGUUCAUACCACAUACAAAUGUAAUAUUUGCUACUUCCAAAAAUGACGCAAAUUUUAAAAGUAUACAACCAUGAAUGAAAAGUGUUUCCAUCCUAUAUGUCAGAUGAAAGGGUCAAUAGCUUUAGUGCCCGAACAUCUUCUUUCUCUUAAAUAAGUAAGAAUCAGGCAAAUGUUUCCAUUUUAAAAGGGCUAAGGCUACGAACACAUCAUUCAGUACAGAAUAAGGAACGAAUGAAUGAUAUAUAUGUAUGAACAUGUGUCCAAAAUGGCUGAUAAUCAAAGAAAUGAGAAAUGAAGCAAGACCCCAUGCUUUGCCUGUUAGUUCAAAGAAGAUUAAAAUAAAUAUGAUCAUAUUCCAAGCUGGAGAUGUGUAGGGAAAAGGGAAGGACAUAACUGAUAGCGUCUUCCUGGAGGGGAAGUAUGGCAAUGAAUUAAAAGGCAGAACGAGUAAUUUAUUCAUCCAUUCCACUGUUCAUGGACAUUUGGGUUCUUUCGCAUUUGGGGCUGUUGUGAAUAAAGCUGCUAUGAACAAUAAAAAAAAAAAGAGGCACCUGGUUGUGAAGAAACAGUUUUAAACACUUUUCUAAGUAAUUUGACAUGUGUCAUGAUUGCUGUUGUUUAAAAAGGAAAAUAAUGGUAUGUCCCCUAGAUGUCGGUUUUAAAAAGUAUGCCAACUAUACUUGAGUAAAAAAAGUAAAUAAAAAAAUGAAAAGGCAAAUAAUUGUACAAGACUUGAAAAUCCAAAGCAGUCUCACACUGUACCCCUGUGCGCCCAGGUCCCAUUCCUCUGAAGGAAGAUCUCUUAUCUGUUUAUUCUGAUAUUUAUGUCUCUACUUGUGGAA